Molecule: ribosomal RNA, 430 nt
Filed under: uncultured bacterium
Lineage: Bacteria
Description: bacterial SSU rRNA
Rfam family: Bacterial small subunit ribosomal RNA
Source: RNAcentral
ACUCCUACGGGAGGCAGCAGUGGGGAAUAUUGCACAAUGGGGGAAACCCUGAUGCAGCCAUGCCGCGUGUGUGAAGAAGGCCUUCGGGUUGUAAAGCACUUUCAGUAGGGAGGAAGGUAGUGUAGUUAACACCUGCACUAUUUGACGUUACCUACAGAAGAAGCACCGGCUAACUCCGUGCCAGCAGCCGCGGUAAUACGGAGGGUGCGAGCGUUAAAUCGGAAUUACUGGGCGUAAAGCGCAUGCAGGCGGCCUGUUAAGUCAGAUGUGAAAGCCCGGGGCUUAACCUCGGAAUUGCAUUUGAAACUGGCAGGCUAGAGUCUUGUAGAGGGGGGUAGAAUUUCAGGUGUAGCGGUGAAAAUGCGUAGAGAUCUGAAGGAAUACCAGUGGCGAAGGCGGCCCCCUGGACAAAGACUGACGCUCAGAUGCG